GAUGAACGCUGGCGGCGUGCCUAACACAUGCAAGUCGAGCGAACAGACGAUGAGCUUGUUCCUCUGACGUUAGCGGCUGGCGGGUGAGUAACACGUGUAUCCUCCACUUAUCAUUCUGGUAUCAUUUCGGGAAACCGGAGCUUAUACCGUAUAAUCUAUUGAACCGCAUGGGUCAAUAGUGAAUUUCGGCUUUGCUGUAUCUUCUAGCGGGAUCCGCGCCUCAUUAGCUAGUUGGUAAGGUAACGGCAUACCAAGGCAACGAUGCGUAACCGACCUGAGAGGGUGAUCGGCCACACUGGAACUGAGACACGGUCCAGACUCCUACGGGAGGCAGCAGUAGGGAAUCUUACGCAAUGGGCGAAAGCCUGACACAGCAACACCGCGUGAGUGAUGAAGGCCUUCGGAUCGUAAAGCUCUGUUAUUGGGGAAGAACAAAUGUGGAAUUAGACAUGCAGGUCUUGACGGUACCUAAUCAAGAAGCAACGGCUAACUACGUG
RNAcentral lists this ribosomal RNA (497 nucleotides) under uncultured bacterium. RNAcentral's name for it is "partial 16S ribosomal RNA". It matches the Rfam family "Bacterial small subunit ribosomal RNA", at positions 28 to 507 of the family's 1533-position model. The record is from RNAcentral.